AUGUCUUCAAGUACCCAGCCCGUUACCGUGACACUGAGACACUUCAUCCGCACUGUUUUGGAAUUUAGGGUUCAUCACAAUCUUGGAUCUCCGCCAUCAGAGAAUCUGAGAUGCAGAGGUCGUCGUUACGAUUCCGUUUGUUAGGGUUUCGAUCACUUCCUUUCGCCUUCAGUAUAAAAAGAAUUUAACUGUUUAUGUAUCUGACCGGAACAUUCAGAGCUAGAUACGGCAGUGUUGGGCCGUUCCACGAAACAACAGGUCUUGAGUCGCUUCAUCUCUGCGGAGGCAUUUUCGGAAACUAACUAUGCUAACUCCCGAGAAAUCCGGUGGUUUUACAUCGUUUCUUGAUCUUCCACCUACACAAGCAGUGAGCUUCUCCAUUUCUCUGAUUCCUCAUCGUCGUUUCUUCAAGCACUGGCCCGUAACGGAAUCCGUUUAAAUAUCUCCCCACCGCCGCUUCUGGACAUUGGCUUUUCCUUCUAAUUCAGCCAUCUUGGAGCGAGCAGAUAGCUUCUCGGUACUACGUACGCGCCACUGAGAAGCUUGCAGACGAUGAAGAAGCCGAGAUGCUCUUUGUGGCGUUUUCUGAGUUUGAAGAGCGAUGCAAGGAGCCGGAACGUGCUAGGUUUAUCUACAAGUUUGCUCUUGAUCAUAUUCCUACAGGGAGGGCUGAGGAUUUGUAUAAAAAUUUUGUGGCAUUUUAUAAACAGUAUGGUGAUAAGGAUGGGAUGCCACUUCUGGGAAGAGAAGGUUUCAGUAUGAAAAUGAAGUGAGGAAGAACCCUUUGAACUAUGAUUCUUGGUUUGAUUACGUUAAGCUUGAAGAAACUGUGGGGAACAAAGAUAUAGGAUAAAGGAGAUGUAUGAGAGGGUUAUUGUUAAUAUUUCACCUGCUGAAGAGAAAUAAUACUGGCAAAAAUACAUUUUUCUCUGGUAAGUUUAUUCUUUUUCAGUUUGGUUUUGGCAAUAAUGCAUAAUCGAUUUAGCUGGAAUUGGAAUGUUGCCUUCUUAUGUAGUUAUGUGAAUCAUGCUUUGAAUAAGAAGGUUAAGUUUUUAAACUGAGUUGUUAGAGUUUGAUCAUGAUUUGAUUUGCAUAAGUAGUUUCUUCAAUAGUGAAAGCUAUUGGUGUUUGUCUUUAUUAGCUUAUUUGGUUCUGCGAUUUUGACAAUAAUGCAGACGUGAAUUUUAAAAUAAACAUACUGAAUAUAUAAAUUAUAAUAUUUUUUUCUUGGAUUUUUCAAUUGUUUACAUUGAUAUCUUCUCACAGUUGGUCAAUUCUCAUGAGCAUAUAAUAUAAAACAUAAAUUGUACUAUUGUUGUAAAUGUGAGGUAAUUUCGUAACUCACGGUUUAAUUGAGUACGUGUGGAGUUGAGCUGAUGGACCAUGUGAUGGAGAGCAACGGAGCAAGCGCCGGAGAGCGACGGAACGAGUGGAGUUGAGCUGGACCAUGUGACAUGCAGAUCAAGGACAGCCAUGGAACAAGUGGCAGAGAGUGUGACGAGAGAUAGCAAAGGCAAUUAUUACAUUAUCACAUGGGAGGUCGAUAGGCUCUCGGACAUGGUUCGAAGUUUCUGUAAAUGGAGGGAUGGAAGUCGCGGUGGAGUCUGACCUGACUGCAUAGCUUCUCAUGAGGCUGUUGUUCAAAUUCGGUGGCAUUACAGCAGACGGGAAAGCUAGAGUACAACGAUAACGCAGAGGUUAAUGUUUUAUCUCCUUCAUUCUGCAUCUGUCUGCAUGGUCUAUUUUUACACAAUAAGAAUGUCAACAACAGUGGUGAACGAUAUGCAUCAUGUAUGUAUGACUAAUCAGCUAUGAGGCUUUCGGGUGAGUUGCAGUGAUAUGAUAUGUGACUUUAGUAGAUAUACAUUAGGAUUCUGUUAAGGGGAUGAUACUAGAUGAUGAGUAUGUACUCAUGAGAUCUGCUAAUAUCAACCAAAUAUCAUUGGCCGGUACAAAAGAUACAGAAAUAGCAAUGGGUGCAUAUCAACCCCAUCAUACAUGGACUAACAAGGGAAGACACCCACGUGGCCAGGUGUAUGGGUACAGAAUGUCACUAUGAACAGAACAUUUAGGCAAAACAGGAGAUGAGUUCGUGGAGCCUGCUGAUCUAGAAUGCGUGAAUAACUUUCGCUGAAGGAAACUGGAAAAGUUUCAUAACUUCGGAAUUCUCGGAGCUGCAAGAUCACUUGAUUAAAUAUCCUCUACAAGUAGACAGUGAAGCUAAAGUGAGCUCACUUCCAGAUUACGACAGCUUCCCAGAUGUUGGUGGUAAGAUCAUUGGAGUUCAUUCAAUGGCUCACCCUGAUACUCUAGCCAUGUAAUGUUACAUGGUUCGUUUCGAUUCUGAAGAAAAAGAAGCUGAGAGAGUUUUGUGUGAUUUGUGUACAUUUAACUGUACAUGCUCUGUGUUUCUUAUUUUUCUCAAGUAACAAAGAAACUGUAAUAUAAUUCCACAUGGAUGUAAUUUGAGGUUUCAGUUCAGAUUUAUUAAACCCAAAACAAAGAUUCAAUAUCAAAUCUACA
This is a long non-coding RNA of Raphanus sativus (radish), 2523 nucleotides long. RefSeq lists it as uncharacterized. The record is from RefSeq and is a predicted model, not a curated record. The transcript is spliced from 4 exons. NCBI's taxonomy places the organism in Eukaryota, Viridiplantae, Streptophyta, Magnoliopsida, Brassicales, Brassicaceae.